Molecule: long non-coding RNA, 537 nt
Organism: Thunnus maccoyii (southern bluefin tuna)
Lineage: Eukaryota; Metazoa; Chordata; Actinopteri; Scombriformes; Scombridae
Exons: 3
Source: RefSeq, a predicted model, not a curated record
GGAGCAACCUCCUCUGCCUCAACAGACCAGCCUCCACUGCUGCAGAUCAACAACAUCUAACGUCAUAUCAAGCACUCCAGCUACCUGCAGUGAAACACAGCCUGCAGCAGAUUUGCCUGUAGGUGAAGGAACAACAGACACAACAUCCACUGCUACUACUCUACAGCCUACAGACACCAACAACUGGAACAGAUCCUGAAGUAUGUGAGUCCAUCAAGGAAGCACCUAUAGAUCCUGCUGACCGGCAGCCCUGUCUGAUAUGAUGAGGACAGAGCAGAGGCCAUAUCAGGUAAAAUAAGACUGAAGUUCCCAUCACCACCAUGUUUAGAGAACAUUAGUGAAUGGAGAGAAAAUCAAGAGAGGUUGGGUGGUUCCAAGAAAAAAAAUCUUUAUUGCUUCUGCUGCAAACUGAUCAGUAAUGCACUCAAUGACUGAAAAAAUUGCAAUGAAAUACUCAAAAGCCAUGAGAACAGUCCAGAACAUUUUAGGCACAUGACAUGAUGGAAGGAGUCAUCUAUCCAGUGUAAUCUAUCAAUA